Molecule: long non-coding RNA, 857 nt
Organism: Tachysurus fulvidraco (yellow catfish)
Lineage: Eukaryota; Metazoa; Chordata; Actinopteri; Siluriformes; Bagridae
Exons: 4
Source: RefSeq, a predicted model, not a curated record
CAGGAUGCACUUAUUUCCAGGGAUUUCAGAACAGUGUAACAGAUAUUGCGUCAUCGGUGUGCUCUUUUUUUUGUUAGAGGGCGUUUUUCCAAGACCUCCGGAAACACGCCCACUUUACGCCAUGGUAACAAAACCCCGGGAUUUUAGUGAUUGCCGCGUCUUCUCAGUGGUUCCUAUAUGAUGAUGAGGCUCCAAAAGUGACCUACUAUCAGCUGUGCCAUGAUGAAAACGAGGACUUUGCUGGAAUUGAAUGUAGGUGUUUGAGGCUGCUCCCCCAUGACCAUGGCCCGUCAGUGCUGGUCACCAUUGAGAUGUGCGAUGCACUUAAUAGCUUGUCUGAGAACCAGUCACUUAUCCGCAUGCCUCCGUGGAGCAACUUCUGGCUGUUGGCCGCCAUGACCCUCUUCAUGUCCCUGCACUUCAUGAUCAUGUAUGUGGACCCCCUGCCCAUAAAUCUGUUCCUCCAACAUGGCUGCAUCUUCAACCCUGCUUUCUUUUCCACUUACCUACACUAAAGUUAUGCUGUAGUACAGAAGGUCAUUGUCAGUGAUGAGGUCUUCAAGCUGACCCACUUGAAUGUGGAGCAGUGGAUGGUAGUGCUGAAACUGUCCUUCCCCGUCAUCCUCAUUGAUGAGGUGAAGUUUGUUGCCCGUAACUACCUGGAUGGUAAGACCAACAACAUGGACCUAAUAAUAAAAUAAUUUUUGAAAUGCCAUAUAUGAUAAUAUUAUAAUCAAAUGAUAAACAAGUGUCCUAUAUUAAUAUUUACCUCUCCAAUUAAUAUAUACAAUAUACAAUACAAUACAAGUUUAUUUGUAUAGUGCUUUUUACAAUAGACAUUGUCUCAAAGCAGCUUU